Molecule: long non-coding RNA, 620 nt
Filed under: Apteryx owenii (little spotted kiwi)
Lineage: Eukaryota; Metazoa; Chordata; Aves; Apterygiformes; Apterygidae
Description: lncRNA (ENSAOWG00000018658.1)
Source: RNAcentral
AGAUGUUUUAAGAAUACUGGCUUCACUGUUGAAUGUUUCCUGCAGAGGAAUAUUUUCAGCCAAGCCUCGUACAACAGAUGUUGAAAGAUUGAGCCUUUUUGACUGUAGGCACCAGCUCUGUUCUCCAAACCCCCUUCGAUGCCACUGAUGCUGCUACUAUGUUAAUUCAGCAGAAAUUGUUCCCGGAAGACACUCACUACAAAUUUCUGGGUUUCCCAACCAAGGAUUUUGACCGAAGAUCCCAUCUGAAGGUGUAUCUAUUAUUUUAGAAUUUUCUCUUUGUAAAUGGGUUUGCAGCAGAGACUUCUGCCUGCCGCUGGUGUUCUGCAAAUCCGGCCUCACAUUUCCUACUCACCAUACUUCUCCAAAUCUGCCCUCUGGAGACUCUGGCCUCAGCUACCGUAAAAUAAUGGCAAGCAAAAGCCUGUUAGGAAGGAGCAGGACUUUGGAUACUCCUGAAUUAUGCUGGAACAGAUGCCUGAUCUUGAAGCCUGUGCUUGAAUUGUUUUUGCAGGUUUGUGCUCUUCUUUUUUUCAUUGAUUCCCUCUUUUUGUAGCUGAAAGAAAGAGUUGUAUUGUGAAAUAUAAUAAAAACAUAAUUAUGUACUAUUUGAUAAAACA